AUCUCCAAAACGAGAAGCAAAAAAGUGUAUAUGCUAGUUCUGUUAAUGAGAAGUUGCUGUAUGAAUGUUCAAUUCUCCAAAAACGGCUUGAAGAAUCAAGUGUAAACUUCCUGGUUGAAGAGGAAGACAAAUUAGUUCUGGAUACUUCACCAUCAGAUGCUAUCGAUCUUCUUACCACGUCUGAUAAUCGAAUUGAUCUUCUUCUGGCUGAGUGUUAUAUAUAGUACAAGAUGACUUAUCGAAGCAAGAGAACAAGGGAAAUACUUGCUGCCACAGCUAAGUCACAAGAUCCAAAAUCAUCACAGUCACCAAAGACAACUGCAUCUAAGUUUCAUGAUCCACUAUCAUAUGUAAGUGAAUUUGCUUCCAAACCAACCAAAAAACAAGUUGUUCAGUCACCACUAGUUGAGGUUCUUAAGAAUGAUAAGUGGGGGCCAUUUUUUCCACUUUAUACAACUACAAAAUGCACACAACCACACCUAGCAAACUAGGAUCUAUUUAGAAAAAACCUCCACCUAUUGUACCACAUUCAAAUAAACUCAACUCCCUUAACAACCCUUUAGCUUCCUCUCCUACUUCUCACCCACCACUUCAGCAUCCUCAACCUGGGAAGGGAGGUUCUUAGAACCUUGGUACUAGUGCUGUGAAAACUUUGGCAUCAACUCCUAUUUCUCACCAACCACUUCAGCAUCCUCAACCUGGGAAGGGAGGUUCUCAGAACCUUGGUACUAGUGCUGUGAAAACUUCGGCAGCAACUCCUAUUUCUCACCAACUACUUCAGCAUCCUCAACCUGGGAAGGGAGGUUCUAAGAAAACUUCAGCAGCAACUCCACAGUUUAAUCAAACACAUCAAAAAAGUGAUGAAACUUCCAAUGAUAUCUCGAAAAAAAACUAAGUCUCUACAACCAAAGUCACUUGCCGAUUGGCCUGUAGACAUAGAUUUUGAUGAUAAGGAGGAGGUUUUGACCAUAGACGCCAAUGGUAAUACUACAUUGGUGAGUGGUAUAAUUCUGCCAAUUGACGUUUGGAGCAAUAGUGACCUCAAGUACUAUGUUGAAUUCAAUGAUCUAUGCCAACCGAUUAGGAAAGGUGGACAUAUAUUGGUUAAUUCAUUGGUAUGAUUGCAAAGAUGGAGACUCAUUGUCCACUUGGAGAAAAAAAUUGGCAUGCAAUCGACAACCAUAUAAAAGGAAGGAUAGUUACGGAUAUGAGAGACCACUUUGUGAUUCCUAAUGGUGUGGAAUAUGACAACCAAGCUCUCAAGCGUGCCAAUAAAU
Molecule: long non-coding RNA, 1277 nt
Organism: Chenopodium quinoa (quinoa)
Lineage: Eukaryota; Viridiplantae; Streptophyta; Magnoliopsida; Caryophyllales; Amaranthaceae
Exons: 4
Source: RefSeq, a predicted model, not a curated record